RNAcentral lists this ribosomal RNA (406 nucleotides) under uncultured bacterium. RNAcentral describes it as "partial 16S ribosomal RNA". It matches the Rfam family "Bacterial small subunit ribosomal RNA", at positions 30 to 526 of the family's 1533-position model. The record is from RNAcentral.
AUUGAACGCUGGCGGCAGGCCUAACACAUGCAAGUCGAACGAGUGGCGGACGGGUGAGUAAUGUCUGGGAAACUGCCCGAUUGAGGGGGAUAACUACUGGAAACGGUAGCUAAUACCGCAUACCAUCGGAUGUGCCCAGAUGGGAUUAGCUAGUAGGGGGGGUAACGGCUCACCUAGGCGACGCUCCAUAGCUGGUCUGAGAGGAUGACCCGCCACACUGGAACUUAGGCACGGCCCAGACUGCUACUGGAGGCAGCAGUGGGGAAUAUGGCAUCAUGGGCGCAGGCCUUAGGCAGCCAUGCCGCGUGUAUGAAGAAGGCCUUCGUGUUGUAAAGUACUUUCAGCGAGGAUGCGUUACUCGCAGAAGAAGCACCGGCUAACUCCGUGCCAGAAGCCGCGGUAAUUC